CGCUGAUCGGCGGCUUACCAUGCAGUCGAGGGGCAGCAUAGGUACUUGUACCUGAUGGCGACCGGCGGACGGGUGAGUAACGCGUAUGGAACCUACCUUUUACAGGGGGAUAGCCCAGAGAAAUUUGGAUCAAUACCUCAUAGUAUAUAAUUGCGGCAUCGUGAUUAUAUUAAAGAUUUAUCGGUAAAAGAUGGCCAUGCGUUCUAUUAGCUAGAUGGUAAGGUAACGGCUUACCAUGGCUACGAUAGAUAGGGGCCCUGAGAGGGGGAUCCCCCACACUGGUACUGAGACACGGACCAGACUCCUACGGGAGGCAGCAGUGAGGAAUAUUGGACAAUGGGCGAGAGCCUGAUCCAGCCAUGCCGCGUGCAGGAAGACUGCCCUAUGGGUUGUAAACUGCUUUUAUACAGGAAGAAACACUCCCUCGUGAGGGAGCUUGACGGUACUGUAAGAAUAAGGAUCGGCUAACUCCGUGCCAGCAGCCGCGGUAAUACGGAGGAUCCAAGCGUUAUCCGGAAUCAUUGGGUUUAAAGGGUCCGUAGGUGGACAAUUAAGUCAGGGGUGAAAGCCUAUAGCUCAACUAUAGAAUUGCCUUUGAUACUGGUUGUCUUGAGUUAUUAUGAAGUAGUUAGAAUAUGUGGUGUAGCGGUGAAAUGCAUAGAUAUUACAUAGAAUACCGAUUGCGAAGGCAGAUUACUAAUAAUACACUGACACUGAUGGACGAAAGCGUGGGGAGCGAACAGGAUUAGAUACCCUGGUAGUCCACGCCGUAAACGAUGGAUACUAGUUGUUCGGAUUUAUCUGAGUGACUAAGCGAAAGUGAUAAGUAUCCCACCUGGGGGAGUACGUUCGCAAGAAUGAAACUCAAAGGAAUUGACGGGGGCCCGCACAAGCGGUGGAGCAUGUGGUUUAAUUCGAUGAUACGCGAGGAACCUUACCAGGGCUUAAAUGUAGUGUGACAGGGGUGGAAACAUCUUUUUCUUCGGACACAUUACAAGGUGCUGCAUGGUUGUCGUCAGCUCGUGCCGUGAGGUGUCAGGUUAAGUCCUAUAACGAGCGCAACCCCUGUUGUUAGUUGCCAGCGAUUCAAGUCGGGAACUCUAACAGGACUGCCCGGUGCAACCGUGAAGGAAGGUGGGGGAUGACGUCAAUCAUCACGGCCCUUACGUCUGGGCUACACACGUGCUACAAAUGGUAGGACAGAGAGCAGCACUUGGGCCGACCCAGGAGCGAAUCUUAUAACCCUAUUCACAAGUUCG
This 1259-nucleotide ribosomal RNA is filed under the name uncultured bacterium. RNAcentral describes it as "bacterial SSU rRNA". It matches the Rfam family "Bacterial small subunit ribosomal RNA", at positions 34 to 1295 of the family's 1533-position model. The record is from RNAcentral.